AGUUCCGGGGCAAAGGGUUGAAUGGGAGCUGCAGCUUCAGGCCUACACCACAGCCACGGCAACGAGGGAUCUGAGCCAGAUCUGCAAACUACACCGCUGUUUGUGGCAAUGCUGGAUCCUUAACCCACUCAGUCACUGGCUGAGGCCAGGAAUUGAACCUGCAUCUUCACGGACACUAUGUGGGGUUCUUAGCCACCUGAGCCCACAACAGGAACUCCUGUUUUAUUUUUAAAAUUUUAUGGCCACCCAUGCAGCAUAUGGAAGUUCCUCUGUCAGGGACUGAAUCCAAGCCACAGCUGUGACCUUUGCCACAGGCAGCUGCACCAGAGCCAGAUCUUUAAUCCCCCUGUGCUGGGCUGUGGAUGGAACUUUUACCUCUGAAGUGACCAGAGCCGCUACAGUCAGAUUCUUAACCCGCUGUGCCAUGGCGGGAACUCCUCAGUGAGCUUUAAAGGCACAGAAAGGAAGCUGGAGAGGAGUCAGAGUGGGGGUCCUUUCUGUAUAGUCACCGCUAUGAAGAUAUUUGGUGCCUUUUAAUAUCAUCAUGUGGUCUUUUGUCAUUUGUGGUCCAUAUUACAUAGAAGUUGAAUGUUAUUUUAUCUAUAAGGUUGGUUCUGGAUAUUACAGGAUAGUGAACUGUGCUUCAUUGACUUUUAAGACCUGGUGAUGCUCUAAUCAUCUAUGUUAAAAUAGGGGCUCCAUCCUGGGAAGCUUUGAGUUCACUGACUUGGCAGAGAGCCCCUCGGUUUACCCGGAGACGGACUAUAUCCAGCAGCUGGGAGAUAAAAAUAAAGUUCCCAGGUCUGUCACGAAGCAGUCUUGUGAUCUUGGGGAAGCCAUUUCAAAUGUCUAAAUUCAUGUCCCAGGUUUCCCAUCCCCGACAGCCUUUCCCCACCCUUCAGAUACAUUCCAUCCCUAAAAGGGAGCUCCUGGGUCCAUUUGAUUAGAGUUCGCUAUUAUCAGAUGAACCUUAUCUACAAGUGGACAUAUGAAGGGCAGAGCCCAGCUAAGGAAGUUGGAGACGGGAAAAGUCCAGAGCAGCAAACUGAACAAAGAGUAUAAGAGGGAGAAGAGGUUGAAAACAGGUAGGAAGCUGGCAGAAGCCAAGAGAAGAUGGGCAAGUCUAAGCUACGUGCCCACCUCAGUCCUGGGCCACCGCACCCCAGAACAAGCAUGAAAUGGAGCAGAUGGAUGCGAUGAGAAAUAAUCGCUGCCUGAACGGGUGGGAAUGUCUUGCUCAGGUGGUGUACAGGGGCCAACUUGAGGCCAAUUAUCUGCAACCAAUUCUAUUAGAGUAAAAUGGACUAUUUAAUGGCAACUUACGGCACACAGCCUAGAUAAGAACUUUAAACUAAACAUGUGUGACCACCAGUAAGACAACUGAUCAAACCCAAAUAGCACAGAACUCCAUUUAGACCGUGAAACGUUCAUCAUAUAAAGAGCCAGCAGGAGUUUUCUCACCUGCAGUAGCCUGUGAAAUUGGCCACUCCCCCAUCCAAGAGAUGGCUUGGGUUCUCCUGCCCUAUCCUGCGGUGUCUGUGGUAUUAUCUUCUGACCAAAGGGGCUAUUAUUGCUACGAGAGAAGAAGAGACUUGAAGAUGCCCCCUGGAAUGUUCUCCGUUAUCAGGCAUUAGCCCUCCGUGUUUCCUAACCCAGAAGCUCAUUUUGUUACCAUGUCUUUUUUAAUUUUCCUAAUUUCUAUCUUUUUUUCUCACUUUAUCCUUAUUGACUCACUCAUCAAACAAUAAGUGAAGGUAUGUGAUAUGUCAGACCCAGAGUGAGUCUAUACGGCCUCAAAGGUGGAAAAAGCAAGGCUUCCUCGGUGGAUAGGGCCACUAUCAACGGGGGUGGGAGGUGGGGACAGACUGGGAAACAGGUGUGCACGUCACUGGGACCUCGGGGUAGUAGCGUAUGCGGAUGCUGCUGCGGUAAAAGAUGGGUCACCCCAUCUGGGUCUGCAGGGGUCAGAGACAGUGCUCUGCCUUCUGUCUUGAUGCAUCUCGAGGGUGAGGAAAGGUCGUCCCGGCGACCAGAGGGUCACCGGGUAAAGGGAGAGGCCACCCUGUUCACAAGGGAGAAGGAGACGGUCUCAUGUCAUAGGAACAGGAAGUCCUUCCUGGCUCUCCCGAAGCUCUCUCUCCACCUCUCCCCCCAUGCUUCCUUAAUUUAUUGUACUUAUUUUAUCUUUUGCUUUUUAGGGCCGCACCCAUGGCAUACGGACGUUCCCAGAUGAGGGGUCAGAGGGGAGCUUCAGCGGCUGGCCUGCACCACAGCCACAGCAAUGCAGGACCAAGCUGUGUCUGAGACCUACACCAGAGCUCACGGCCACUCCAGACCCCCGACCCGCUGAGCGAGGCCAGGGAUCAAACCCGCAUCCUCAUGGAUCCUAGUCAGAUUUGUUUCCGCUGCACCACAACGGGAACUCCACGCUUCCUUAUUUUGAAAGCCUUGGUUCCGGUUUAGCUUAUUUGGAUCCUUGGUUUUCACAUGCCUUUACUAGGAAAAUGCCAAACAAAGAAGAGUACCUCCAAAUGGAAGGAGUGCAUCACUGGAUGAACGUCCCAAGCCAUCUUACUCAUCCAUCAAGCAAAGGCUUCUGUUGAAAUCUGACUGGUAAAGGUCCUUGUCCUGUUACACCUGUCACUGACUCUUGCAAAUUCCCUUUUGCUUUUCACGUAGGUUGACCCUGGGAAACCCACAACUCCUGUGGAAAGAUCUAGCAUCCUGUCAGAGUGCUCGCCGCUCUCAGGAAGCAACCACCCACACGAGCCUCCCAUCCAGCAUCCAUCAGCUUCCGCACUCAAAACACACUCCUGUUGGUGCAAAUGGUGGCAGGUCUGGUUCUCUGAGUCCCCAGUGGACGGACUGACGGGGAGGUGGCCUCUAGCUGUUCACCCUGCAGGGCCCACAGCUGGCAGCCGUGGAGUUCAACACACAUCACACACACACCACAAAACCUGGACCCUGCGAGUGAGUCUACGUGACCUGCUUUGACUAGAGAAAUGGGGAAACGAACACCUCAAGCGGGUAGAUACGGGGCGGGAAAAAGGAGAGCAGAGGCCGGACGCCAGAGCAAGCAGCCCCGCUGGUCUGGGCUGCGUUCACUUAGGAGACAUCAGGCGAUGUGUGCGAUGCGCUCUUUCAGGCUCUACCGUUUUACAAAAACAGGAGGAAGGAAAGACAGACGGGAAAGGGCAGGAAAAAGAUGUAGAUGGGGGACAAAGGGCUUGUCAGCACCCAGCCCAGCACUGGCGGCUUUGGAAUGUGUUAUGUUUUCAAUGAAUCACAGCAACCUUUGGAGAAAAGUAUUAUAAUCCAUAGCUUAGAGCUGAGCAGACAGACCCAGCAGCAGGGAAAAAAGAAUCACUACUUUGUGAAAUUCUGGUUUCUUGUCUUUAAAUGGUUUAGACAGUAAUAAUUAACAUUAAAACGUAGGGGGGGAAUUAUUUCCCCUCCAUUACCAGUUAAUAUUCAAAUAAAUAUAUUGUGAUAAAAAAUUCCAUGUAGACUCAGAAGCAUGAGAAAAGUAACUUCAACUGUUUAAACCUAAUAAACUCUUCUUCCUAAAAUAAUGAAAAACUCCUGAAAGCCAAAGAUGUUUCACUUACACCGAUAAGCCUAUCUUGCCUUUGCAUAGAGUAUAGAACCAGUUACUUGCUGAUGCAUUUAACUGAAAAUUGUUUAUAUUUUAAGCAUUUAAUAUCAAUUUUUAAGUUUUCUACAGAAACUAGAAAUUGCUGUGUUGUCAGCCUAAACACCACUGCUUUCUAAUAUUUUUACCUUUACAUGCUUUAGAGGGAUAAUUUCACUCUGAAAAUAUAUGAAAAAGGACAAUUCUGAUUUCUUAUUAAGAUUCGCAGGGUAUAAACCAAACUCCAUAUUGGCUGAAUAAUGAGUUAAAGACGUUUAGUUUAUGUUAGUAAAGUUCAUCUUUGUACAGAACUUGGGAUCGGAAUAUCACCUGAUUUAUUUAAAUUGUGGAUUUAGAGUUUCAGAGCAUUUAUAUUCUUUUUUUUUUUGGCUGUGCCCCUGGCGUGUGAAAUUUCUGGGGCCAGGGACUGAACUUACUCCAAAGCAGUGAUCUGAGCCACAGCAGUGACAACACUGGAUCCUUAACCCACUGAGCCACCAGGGAACUCCCAGAGUAUUUAAUAUAGGCUGGGUUUCUGCAAAAAAUAGAAAUCGCUGAAUGUGUAUUGGGCCCACAGCCUACAUUUCUCAGGUAAUAAUAAUAAUAAUAAUAAUAAUAAAACCCCAAAAUCAUAGGAGAAAAGAGAGCACACACUUUACCAGACCCAUGUCCCUUUCUGCCUGAAAGUCCCCCCUCUCAGCCCAUGGAGCACAAGGUGACAGGUGUGCACUUUACAGCGAUGGCCGUGGAUCACAUCACAAGAGGACACGAAGUGCCUGCAUACACUUGCUGCUCUGCCCCUCCCCAGUUGCCGAUCCUAGUUUUGCUGUGACACCACGACCCUCUGAGGUGCAGAGAAAUGCCUGCAGCACAAUCUGGGCUCCUACAUCCAAAUUGCAAAGAGAGGCACACCGCGAAUACACCUUCCUGCUUCUUCUUGCCUGCGCAGCGUGCUCACAGCUGCCUUUAGAACAGCUUCACCAUACAGGCAGGGCAGGACCUCACCGCCUCCUUUCCAUCACCCGUCUAGAGAAGUAGAGUCCUGGCUUAUUGCAAGAGCCAUAGAUUUCAUCAAGGAGCCUGGGGCAGAGAGUUGGUGGAGGGGAGAGUGAGAAAGAAAGGUGGAAAAAAUAUUGCAAAAGGUCCUGAUUCCUUGGUGGUGAAUAUUAGGCUUUUCAUGAGGAAAUAGAGUCCUUAACAUCUUGUCAGCCCAGGGCGACGUGGUCACAAUGGAAUUCUGAACCGGCUGCAGCAGAUUGGAUGCACGCGGAUUAGGGAAAGGAAGGAGGAGGCUGGCAGGGAAGGUGGAGGAAUAAUGAUGAAGUCAGGGUCAGUUAAGGAACAGUUGCAAUGACCCAGUAUCAGAGUGCAUUUGGGUGGUGGUGGGAGGAGCAGAAAUGACAGAAGGAAAAGAGAACAGGACGAAUCCUCUGGAUGUGGAUGGGGAGUGCGGGGUGAGGCUGGUGCACAGGGAAAUCUACUCAGUAUUUUGUAAUAACCUACAUGGAGGGAAUGGAGAUGUGGAACCGAUUCACUUUACUGUGCACCUGAAACUAAUACAACUUGGUGAGUCAACUAUACUCCAACACCUUUUUUUUUUAAGUGACUCCAGUGAAGGUAAACCCUGACAGUGUGCAGACUCCUGAUGUGAGGAAAUGAUCCUGUGAUUGAGACCCCACCACCAGCUGGUGGGAGGAGCUGGGCUCAGCCUCCUUCACAUGAGGUGAUGGGGUGGGGAAAGCGUCUACCCACCGGUCAAGCCAGCAGGACUGAGAUGGUCCUGCUGGGGUCAGGAAUCAGGUGGAACCCAGGAUGCUUGGAUAAACCAUCCAUGGGAGGAAACAGGAACAAGAGGUGGUCUUGUUUCUACCCCAGAGAUGCGCAAGACAGCACAAGAGUUCAAUACGCACUUAGAGAAUGAUUUUGAAUGUGCCAUUAUUUCUAAAUUCCAAGUCUUUCAGUAUAUUAGGUUUGAAUAAACCUAAAUUGCUUGCUGCUGUUGGGUUUCCCAACUUGUACAGCUACGUUAAUAAACACCAUUAGGAACAGUCAUAUCACUUGCAAUUCUUUACGUGCAAUUUCCAAGUGCAGGUUAUCUUUGGUCCCACUUGUGUGUCAUUCAACCCAGAAGCCUGGGGAUUAGGACCCGCCCGGCACACGGGUAGACCCCACCCUGUACAACCACCUCACCCAGCAAAGCUGGCUCUGAACAUGCUCGUGCCUCUGGCACCUUGCAGUCCAUGCUGGGCAAUUUUCCAAUAGACAGGAGAGAAAAAGAACUAUGAGGCCAUCAAACAAACAAAUAUAAAAAAGCCUACUUUAAAAGCUCGAAGUUGCAAUGGAAUUUGACAAUUGAACUUUACCGAAAAGAAUUGAGUCAACUUUAUCUGGCGAAGUUAUUAGCCAUAAAGGUUGAUUCUUUUGGCUAAAAUCUUUUAUCAAAAUGACUGUCAGUAGGUUGUAAUUUCAAAAAUAAACUGUGUAACGUGGAUGCUCUUUGACUGAAACCUCUGAAGAGAGACAAAGCCCUGAGGGAUGCAGGACAGUCUUGGUCUGGCCCAGCUCCUGGCCUUCCCGGACCAUGCCUGGAAGGGCAGCAGGGCUGCGGCUCCGUGGAGCAGACUCAACCACGUGCAUUAGGGUGCAGGAGGUCGGGCCACGAGGGAGCCAGAGCAUUGGACCCUCCGGCACAGCUUUCUCGCAUGAGAUGCAUAAACUGACCCAGACCGUACUUCCUGUCCCAGAGAGCCUCACACCUUCACUCUCCACCCUCCGGUGCUGGGGACGUGUUCGUGAGAUGGUCCCUGCAAGCCACAGCCCCCUGACCUGAGGAGGGUCAAGCCUCAAAUCUGCCACUUAUUGGCUGUGUGAUCCUGGAUGCAUCUAUAAAAUGAAGAUAAAUAUAGCUUUUAUAUGGAUUCUAUAAAAUAAGGAAAAGCAUCUGAAAUGCAGUAAAUGAAAAAUAAUUGUUAUUAAAGAAAGGGUCCAAAGGACCUAAGAUCCUGCCGAGGGAGCAACGUGAGUGUGUGCGGAUGAUGGACCAAGCAGGCUGGAAAGGGCCAUGCCCAGAUUCUGCCCAUCCCUCGGGGGCAGAGGAAGCAUCCCUUCCAUCUGGUCACUAGAUGCUGCAGGGCAGAAUCUGGCCAUGGGAGUGAGGGAGGGAGGUGGAGUCCCAGCCACACUCCGGGAUGAUGAGGUCUGGGCC
RNAcentral lists this long non-coding RNA (6836 nucleotides) under Sus scrofa (pig). Its description in RNAcentral is "lncRNA (ENSSSCG00030034486.1)". Lineage: Eukaryota; Metazoa; Chordata; Mammalia; Artiodactyla; Suidae. The record is from RNAcentral.